AUGGAAUCCAGGAGAGGAAAGACAGCUUCCAUGAAGGUGGAAGGGGACCCCAGAGGAGAAAUCCAGGAGGGGAAAGAGAGCUCCCACUAUGCGCGCGAGCUGCGGGUGUUGCUGCCGUGGGGCCGUCGACUACGGCCUCUGCUGUGGGCGCCGGCGCUGGCGACCGCCCCGGGAGGAAAACCAAUUCUGUGUCCACGGAGGACCACAGCCCAGUUCUGUCCCAGACGAAACACGGCCUGGAGUUUCCAGGCAGGACAGCCAUUCAGCACGCAGACCAACGAGGACAAGGAGGAACCCCUGCACUUGAUCUUCAGCAGCACAGAGCGCGUGCAGGGUUCUACUUCCAAACAUGAGUUCCAGGCCGAGACAGAAGCUUUUGGACAUCGUUGCCCGGUCCUUGCACUCAGAAAAAGAGGUGUUUAUAUGGUAGCUGGUCUCCAGUGCCAGCCAUGACUUGGAAAAACUGCGUCACAAACUGGUGUCUGAUGGCCAGGCACUGCCAGAAAUGGAGAUUCACUUGCAGACAGAUGCCGAGAAAGGCACCAUCACCGUCCAGGAUACUGGCUUCGGGAUGACACAGGAAGAGCUGGUGUCCAACUUGGGACGAUCGCCAGACCGGGGUCAAAGGCAUUCUUAGAUGCUCUGCAGAACCAGGCUGAGGCCAGCAGCAAGAUCAUUGGCCAGUUUGGAGUGGGUUUCUACUCGACCUUCAUGGUGGCUGGCAGAGUGGAGGUCUAUUCCCGCUCGGCAUCCCCGGGGAGCCCAGGUUACCAGUGGCUUUCAGACGGCUCCAGAGUGUGUGAAAUUGCGGAAGCUUCGGGAGUUAGAACUGGGACGAAAAUCAUCAUCCACCUGAAAUCCGACUGCAGGGAGUUUGCCAGUGAGGCCCAGGUGCGGGAUGUGGUGACGAAGUACAGCAACUUCGUCAGCUUCCCCUUGUACCUGAAUGGAAGGCGGAUGAACACCUUGCAGGCCAUCUGGAUGAUGGACCCCAAGGACAUCGGCGAGUGGCAGCAUGAAGAGUUCUACCGUUACAUUGCGCAGGCCUAUGAGAAGCCCUGCUACACCCUGCACUAUAAGAUGGUUGCGCCGCUCAACAACCGCAGCAUCUUCAACGUGCCGGACACGAAACCGUCCGCGUUUGACGUGAGCCGGGAGUUGGGCUCCGGCGUCGCACUGUACAGCCUCAAAGUCCUUAUCCAGACCAAGGCCACAGACAUUCUGCCCAAGUGGCUGUGCUUCAUCCGAGGUGUGGUGGACAGUGAGGACAUUUCCCUGAGCCUCAGCUGGGAGCUGCUGCAGGAGAGUGCACUCAUUAGAAAACUCCAGGAUGUUUUACAGCAGAGGCUGAUCAAAUUCCUCGUUGACCAGAGUAAAAAAGACGCUGAGAAAUAUGCAAAGUUUUUUGAAGAUUACGGCCUGUUCAUGCGGGAGGGCAUUGUGACCACGGCCGAGCAGGAGGUCAAGGAGGACAUAGCAAAGCUGCUGUGCUACUAGUCCUCCGCGCUGCCGGCUGGGCAGCUAACCAGCCUCUUGGAAUAUGCCAACGGCAUGCGGGCUGGCACCCGCGACAUCUAUUACUUGUGUGCCUCCAACCGGCACCUGGCAGAGCACUCGGCCUACUACAAGGCCAUAAAGCAGAAAGACACAGAGGUUCUCUUCUGCUAUGAGCAGUGAUGAGCUCACCCUGCUGCACCUUCGUGAGUUUGACAAGAAGAAGCUGAUCUCCGUGGAGACAGACAUCAUUGUGGAUCACUACAAGGAGUGGAAGUUUAAGGACGGGUCCCCAGCUGCUGAGCGCCUGUCAGAGAAGGAGACAGAAGACCUCAUGGCCUGAAUGAGAAACGUGCUGGGGUCGCGUGUCACCAACGUGAAGGUGACCCUCUGACUGGACACCCACCCCACCAUGGACACCGUGCUGGAGAUGGGGGCCGCCCGUCACUUCUGCACAUGUAGCAGCUGGCCAAGACCCAGGCGGAGCGAGCACAGCUCCUGCAGCCGGUGCUGGAGGUCAACCCCAGGAAUGCACUCAUGAAGCUGAAUCAGCUGCAGGUGAGCGAGCCUGGCCUGGCCCAGGCUGGUGGAUCAGAUAUACGAGAAUGCAGUGAUAGCCGCUGGGCUCGUUGAUGACCCCAGGGCCGUGGUGGGCUGCCUGAAUGAGCUGCUUGUCCAGGCCCUGGAGCCACACUGACAACCAGAGGCC
This is an RNA transcript of Cebus imitator (Panamanian white-faced capuchin), 2203 nucleotides long. It is a transcript of the gene named heat shock protein 75 kDa, mitochondrial-like, with no coding region annotated. The record is from RefSeq and is a predicted model, not a curated record. The transcript has 2 exons. NCBI's taxonomy places the organism in Eukaryota, Metazoa, Chordata, Mammalia, Primates, Cebidae.